RNAcentral lists this ribosomal RNA (725 nucleotides) under Brachybacterium paraconglomeratum. Its description in RNAcentral is "bacterial SSU rRNA". It matches the Rfam family "Bacterial small subunit ribosomal RNA", at positions 557 to 1283 of the family's 1533-position model. Lineage: Bacteria; Bacillati; Actinomycetota; Actinomycetes; Micrococcales; Dermabacteraceae. The record is from RNAcentral.
GGCGUAAGAGCUUGUAGGUGGCUUGUCGCGUCUGCCGUGAAAACCCGAGGCUCAACCUCGGGCGUGCGGUGGGUACGGGCAGGCUAGAGUGUGGUAGGGGAGACUGGAACUCCUGGUGUAGCGGUGAAAUGCGCAGAUAUCAGGAAGAACACCGAUGGCGAAGGCAGGUCUCUGGGCCAUUACUGACACUGAGAAGCGAAAGCAUGGGUAGCGAACAGGAUUAGAUACCCUGGUAGUCCAUGCCGUAAACGUUGGGCACUAGGUGUGGGGGACAUUCCACGUUUUCCGCGCCGUAGCUAACGCAUUAAGUGCCCCGCCUGGGGAGUACGGCCGCAAGGCUAAAACUCAAAGGAAUUGACGGGGGCCCGCACAAGCGGCGGAGCAUGCUGAUUAAUUCGAUGCAACGCGAAGAACCUUACCAAGGCUUGACAUGCACUGGACGGCUGCAGAGAUGUGGCUUUCUUUGGACUGGUGCACAGGUGGUGCAUGGUUGUCGUCAGCUCGUGUCGUGAGAUGUUGGGUUAAGUCCCGCAACGAGCGCAACCCUCGUUCUAUGUUGCCAGCACGUGAUGGUGGGGACUCAUAGGAGACUGCCGGGGUCAACUCGGAGGAAGGUGGGGACGACGUCAAAUCAUCAUGCCCCUUAUGUCUUGGGCUUCAAGCAUGCUACAAUGGUCGGUACAAUGGGUUGCGAAACUGUGAGGUGGAGCGAAUCCCAAAAAGCC